Molecule: non-coding RNA, 65 nt
Organism: Dipodomys ordii (Ord's kangaroo rat)
Lineage: Eukaryota; Metazoa; Chordata; Mammalia; Rodentia; Heteromyidae
Source: Rfam
GGUGGCGCAGUGGUAGAGCUCUUGCCUUGCAUGCAUGAGGCCCUGGGUUCGAUUCCUCAGCACCA